This 1964-nucleotide long non-coding RNA is filed under the name Sus scrofa (pig). RNAcentral describes it as "lncRNA (ENSSSCG00025045475.1)". The record is from RNAcentral. Lineage: Eukaryota; Metazoa; Chordata; Mammalia; Artiodactyla; Suidae.
AGUUUGGAGUUAGCAGACGCAAACUAUUAGAUUUAGAAUGGAUGCACAACAAGGUCCUACUGUAUUGCAUGGGGAACUAUAUCCAAUCUCCUGGGAUAGACCAUGAUGGAAAAUAAUAUCAAAAAAGUCAUAUAUAUGUAUGUAUAUAUGUGUGUGUGUAUAUAUAUGUAUAUAUAUAACUGAGUCACUUUGCUGGACAGCAAAAAUGGGCACAACAUUGUAGAUCAAAUGUAAUUUUAAAAAAGAAAGAAUGAAAAUUAAAAGACAUAGUCCUUUUAUUUUAAAAUGAAACUAAGAAAAUCUCACUUCAGAGUUCCCGUCAUGGUGCAGCGGAAACAAAACGAAUCCAACUAGGAGUGAUGAGGUUUCGGGUUUGACCCCUGGCCUCAUUCAGUUGCUGUGAGCUGUGGUGUAGGUCACAGAUGCAGCUUGGAUCUGACAUUGCUGUGGUUGUGGUAUAGGCCAGUGGCUACAGCUCAGUUUAGACCCCUAGCCUGGGAACCUCCAUAUGCCACAGGUGUGGCCCUGAAAAAAAAAGACACACACAAACAAAAAAAAAAAGAAAAAAGAAGAAAAGAAAAGAAAAAAGGAAAACCUCACUUAUGUGUUAAUCUUAACGCCCCAAUGAGGCCAUGUAAAUAAACUAAAUGGGAUAUCAAUCUUCUAUAUUUCAGUUAUUCUAAAGAAACCAGCACAUAUGGAGAUUUGAUUUGUAGAUUGUCUUUUGAUAAAGACUGAUCAUUUUCAGUUUUUCUGUUCAGAUUUAAGCCAUUUGUCACCAGGGCCAACUACUUAGAAACUGCCUUAGAAAUGCUAACUAUGAUCUAUGGAAAACAUUUAGUACAGAAUCUGGUGUGGACUAAGAACUCUGUAAAUCAUGGCCAGGAAUUCUAGAGGUAGUAGGAAAUACUAGUGCUAUAUAAUGGUGUAAAUGUUUCCAUAUCUGGUUGUUUAAGAGAUGAUAAGCACAGCUUAAAUGCAGUAUCCUCACAUAUUAGUUAAGGUUCCAGAGAAACAGAACAAAUAGGAUAUAUUCAUAAAUUUAUUUUAAAUGGCUCAUGGAGAUAAUGGGGGCUGGUGAGUCUGAAAUCAAUAGGACAACCCAGUAGGCUGGAAAUUCUGGUAAGUAGAUGUUACAAUCUUGCCUCAUAAGACAAUCUGGAGACACAACUCCUUCCUCCUCUGGGAAGUUCAGUCUUUUCCCUAAAAGCUUUCAACAUAUUGGAUGAGGCACACUCCUAUUAUGGCAGUAUAAUCUGCUAUCCUCAAAGUCUACUGUGGUCUGGCAGGCGACUGAUGUCCCUUUGACUCCUCUGACUUUUGUGGUGUCCUGGCCAAGUCACUGAUUUCUCUGAGACUCAGAUUUAUCCUGUAGAAGAUAUUGUCCUUCCAAUUUUUCAUGUCCUUUUCUGGAUGGCCAGUGGGAUUAUCUCCACGUAGGAAUGUUGGCCAAUGGCUAUUGUCUAAGAAAUGUCACACAUAUAUGUGACAGCCUUGAGGAAGCAAAUGUGACUUUUUGUUGUUGCCAUUCUUCCAGAUAUAAAUCUAGUGGAGUUUGGCACCAAAGAAGUUAGAAGUAUUUUUCAAGUCACUACCCACUUCGAAAACAUAUCAUACAGCGUACUCAUGCUUGACUACUCUGUUCUCAUGGGACAGUUGUGUUAAAAUAGGCUUAAAAUCAUUCAUAUAAAGAUCAUUUAAAUGGACAAUAUGCACCUGGACUGGAGAUAUCCCAUUGUGAAGUCAGAGGCACCAGACAGGAGAAAUAAAAAGUCUGUUCUUCCUAUAGCAGCUUCUGCUACAUGAGACUGAACUAGAGUUUAGUUUUCACUAAAAUUUAAAAUAUUGACUAUUUUUGCACAAACGCAUUAUCUACAGGGUGAAAGCAUGAAGAAUAAUACUUUAAGUGUAGAGGAAAGGAAAAGACAGAGAAUAAAGAUUUAACAACAGAAAGCAAGAGCAAG